RNAcentral lists this ribosomal RNA (253 nucleotides) under uncultured bacterium. RNAcentral's name for it is "partial 16S ribosomal RNA". It matches the Rfam family "Bacterial small subunit ribosomal RNA", at positions 524 to 776 of the family's 1533-position model. The record is from RNAcentral.
UACGGAGGGUGCAAGCGUUAUCCGGAUUCACUGGGUUUAAAGGGUGCGCAGGCGGGCAUUUAAGUCAGUGGUGAAAUACCUGAGCUUAACUUGGGAACUGCCAUUGAUACUAUUUGUCUUGAAUGUCGUGGAGGUUAGCGGAAUAUGUCAUGUAGCGGUGAAAUGCUUAGAUAUGACAUAGAACACCUAUUGCGAAGGCAGCUAACUACGCGAAUAUUGACGCUGAGGCACGAAAGCGUGGGGAUCAAACAGG